Myzus persicae (green peach aphid) is the source of this 2069-nucleotide long non-coding RNA. RefSeq lists it as uncharacterized. The record is from RefSeq and is a predicted model, not a curated record. NCBI's taxonomy places the organism in Eukaryota, Metazoa, Arthropoda, Insecta, Hemiptera, Aphididae. The transcript is spliced from 3 exons.
UUUAUACAAAUCCGUAAAAGCCCAAAUCACUGAUACCACUAUUAAUCACAACAUGGUUUCAUUUCUUUCACUCUUGUGAAAAUGUUAAUUUCUCUAUUGCUCAGAAGCUUAUGAGUGAGACCAUCGUUUCCUCUACAGUAAUGUUGUUGUAAGAGUGUAUGUUCAGUGAAGUAAUAUAUUAUACUAGUAUCCAUUUGUUAAAUGUCGAUGGUACAUAGGUACCUACUACUUAUUAACCAUUAACAUUUCAAACAAAACCAUGUUACUGGGAUUUGUUGUCACUAUCUCGCAAGCCAACAGUCUAUGUAUUAACUAUUUGCGCUGAGCACAUAAGCCAUACGUUUGAAGUAUAAUGAUUAUUUUUCGUUGAGUUUUCAAAAAUAAUUAGGCACAUACACGCAAGGUGUACAGAAUAGAAAUGUAUAAUAGUAGACAUCUAAGACGCUACAACGGUUAUCGAAAUGUAAGCGGAUACUGAAUCCGUGUUGUAAUUAAUCUUGACGAAAGGCGGUGUUUACGUGUUUCUGUAAAACUAGGUUUUACGCGUAUUUUGCGUAUGAAGUUUAUUGAUUUGAAUGUAAUUGAUAUACUACCGUGCUCAACUGAGUAACGUACAUUAAUUGUUAAGGAAAAAUAAUUACGUUUCUUAGAAAUACUAAACCAGUUCAAAUAUGGUAAUGAAAUGCAUUAUUCAUAAUUAGUAUAGCUAAUGCUUGUAGAAUAUAAUAUUUAUUGAUGUUGAAAUAAUAUUAUAAUAUAAUUUGAAUAUAUGUGUUGACCCGUUUGAUGGGUUUUCCGUUCCUAUAUAAUAUAGAUUAUAAUAAUAUGUAUACAUACCUAGCAUUGGUACUUGUCAGUUACCACCACGAAUAUAGGAAUAUAUAUUAUCUAGUCCAUGGUUGCCUUUACUACAUUUCACCCCUCUAUUUCGCUGUCAUGUAUAGACGUAUAGUUGGUAAAUAAAUAUAUUUUAAACUUUAAACAUAGAGAGAGAGAGAGAGAGAGAGAGAGAAAGACUGUGCUACAUUGGCUUUAAUAAGAGACCUAAUUAUUUUUACGAUUAAACCGUAUGCUUAUUACUUAAAUUAAAAAUAAUCUCAUUAUUCAGUCGUUACUCAACAUAGUAAAAAUGUAAUAUAUUAUAGUUUUAGAAAUGUACCACGUACGUACAAACAUUCACUUUUUACUCUAAAUGAUUUAUAAAAAUGUCACUUAAAAUUAAAUCUAGAUUAGCGAAAUAGUAUUGAAAAUCCAGGAAUGGCGACACAAAUUUGACUUAAAUAUAUACUUCUUACAACUUGCUGUCGAAUGCGGAAAAGCAGAGUAUCGAAUUCUGCGGCUCAAACGAUUUUUAUUCGGCCGGCAGGCAUCAAAGUGGGAAUCCCGCUACGCAGUGGUCGGAAAAGUGGAAAUACCAUGCAGCUAGGCACGCAAUGUUUGGCAACGUUACCGUCAAAAUCAAAUUAAUUCGUAUUACCCAACAUACGUCACACGCAUGUUUUUUUGUUGGCUCCACGAUCGUCUUACGAGUGUAAUGUUGAAGAUGUAUUUGUAUUCUUAUUAAAAAUGUAUACUGUCGACGACUGUUACUGCUGGAUAGCUACUCAUCUCGAGCAUUUAUUGCCUAUUUUUAGGCGCAUAUGAUUAUUGUUAACAUUUUACAGAUUGUAUGUAUUCAAAUAAAUGUUAAAAGAAAAAAUGAUCUAGGUACAAUUAAAUAUCCUAUUAUCCCAUUAUCAAAUUAUUCUAUAUUCGAAUUUAAAUUGUACAACAUUAUCCGUGUUCUUUUAGGCCGGGCGCACAUCAAUGCAGUUAAAAAAGACUGCCUCGACCUCUUGUAUGCAGUAAUAACCUUCGUAUUUCUCAGGUGUGCGAAAGGGGUGGGCAGGUUAUUGCUGUGGAUAUGAAGUGUGUUGAACUGUCAUGGCACUUGUUUUUCCCCGCAUUGGUGUACGCUCGGUUUUAAAAGUUUUUUCCUGUAUUUUAAUUUUGAAGUGAUGUAAAAUAUUACAAUUUUAAAAUGUUUAUAACUCACUUAAUAAUAAUUGAAAUAUCAAAAAAAAAAACCA